UUUUAUGAGAGUUUGAUCCUGGCUCAGGACGAACGCUGGCGGCGUGCCUAAUACAUGCAAGUCGAACGCUUCUUUUUCCACCGGAGCUUGCUCCACCGGAAAAAGAGGAGUGGCGAACGGGUGAGUAACACGUGGGUAACCUGCCCAUCAGAAGGGGAUAACACUUGGAAACAGGUGCUAAUACCGUAUAACAAUCAAAACCGCAUGGUUUUGAUUU
RNAcentral lists this ribosomal RNA (217 nucleotides) under Enterococcus faecium. Its description in RNAcentral is "partial 16S ribosomal RNA". It matches the Rfam family "Bacterial small subunit ribosomal RNA", at positions 1 to 202 of the family's 1533-position model. Lineage: Bacteria; Bacillati; Bacillota; Bacilli; Lactobacillales; Enterococcaceae. The record is from RNAcentral.